UGGUCCCAGCCUUGAAAUCAGUUUUUACUAUGUUUAUACAUGCAAGUAUCCGCACCACUGUGAGAACGCCCCUAAAUCCUGUCAUGGACUAAGGAGCCGGUAUCAGGCACAAUUAUUAGCCCAAAACACCUAGCGUUCGCCACUCCCACAAGGGUAUCCAGCAGUAAUUAACAUUGAAUAUAAGCGCCAGCUUGAUUCAGCUAAAGUAAAGUAGGGCCGGCAAAUCUGGUGCCAGCCGCCGCGGUUACACCAAGUUAGGCCCAAAUUGAUCUCUUUCGGCGUAAAGUGUGAUUAAAGUAACAUCAUACUGUAGUUAAACUAAAAUUAAGUCGUGAUAAACUUUUUCUUAGGAGACCCAAAAACGAAAGUUACUACAUCUUAAAACAACUUGAAUUCACUAUAGCUAAGGAACAAACUAGGAUUAGAUACCCUACUAUGCUUAGCCACAAACUCUUAAUUACAUUCGCAACGCCAGGGAACUACGAGCAACGCUUAAAACCCAAGAGACUUGACGGUGCCCCACAUCCCCCUAGAGGAGCCUGUCCUAUAAUCGAUAAUCCCCGUUUAACCUCACCAUCUUUAGCCUAUUCAGUUAGUAUACCUCCGUCGCCAGCUUACCACGUGAGCGACUCAUAGUAAGUACAACGUCCAUACAAGUCGUCCAUACGUCAGGUCAAGGUGCAGCUAAUAAGAUGGGAAGAGAUGGGCUACACUCUCUAGCUUAGAGAACACAGAAAACUCGUUAUGAAAAGAAAUUGAAGGUGGAUUUAGUAGUAAAAAGAGAUCAGAGUGCUCUUUUUAAAUCGGCACUGGGGUGUGUACACACCUGCCCUGUCACCCUCUUCGCAGCCAUUAAAAAGUCUUUAACACACUAUUUGCAUAGUAGAAGAGGCAAGUCGUAACAUGGUAAGUAUACCGGAAGGUGUGCUUGGAAA
Molecule: non-coding RNA, 935 nt
Filed under: Bokermannohyla aff. pseudopseudis CFBH 5642
Lineage: Eukaryota; Metazoa; Chordata; Amphibia; Anura; Hylidae
Description: partial 12S ribosomal RNA
Rfam family: Bacterial small subunit ribosomal RNA
Source: RNAcentral